RNAcentral lists this ribosomal RNA (351 nucleotides) under Triticum aestivum (bread wheat). Its description in RNAcentral is "partial small subunit ribosomal RNA". The record is from RNAcentral. Lineage: Eukaryota; Viridiplantae; Streptophyta; Magnoliopsida; Poales; Poaceae.
AUGAUCAACUCUCAGAUGGCCAAUUGCUUGUGGAAUGAUUUUGAAGGCCAUAGGAAACUACACCUAGCUAACUGGAGACUUGUGUGUAUGAAAAAGGAAUUUGGAGAUCUGGCGAUUCCCAACCUCCAUGACAUUAAUCUCUACUUGUUAGGGUUUGCGCGUGGCGGCGAGGUUCUUCUCCGAGACAUUGGGCGCAUCCAGAGCUGGCUCGUACCAAGCAGGCAGCGCAACAGCCUUGGCCUUUCGGGGCGCCAUUGGUCGGAGGCUCGGAAGGGGAUUGGAGCAGAUCUGGGGAUUUCGGAGGCAAGGAGCGAGAAAGGGGAUCUGGAGCAAGGCAAAAGGAAGCAAUGA